RNAcentral lists this ribosomal RNA (495 nucleotides) under uncultured bacterium. RNAcentral's name for it is "partial 16S ribosomal RNA". It matches the Rfam family "Bacterial small subunit ribosomal RNA", at positions 28 to 507 of the family's 1533-position model. The record is from RNAcentral.
GACGAACGCUGGCGGCGUGCCUAAUACAUGCAAGUAGAACGAUGAAGGAGGAGCUUGCUUCUCUGGAUGAGUUCCGAACGGGUGAGUAACGCGUAGGUAACCUGCCUGGUAGCGGGGGAUAACUCUUGGAAACGCUAGCUAAUACCGCAUAAGAGUAGAUGAUGCAUGACAUUUGCUUAAAAGAUGCAGUUGCAUCACUACUUAAUGAACCUGCGUUGGAUUAGUUAGUUGGUGGGGGAACGGCUCACCAAGGCGACGAUACAUAGUCGACCUGGGAGGGGGAGCGGCCCCACUGGGACUGAGACACGGCCCAGGCUCCUACGGGAGGCAGCAGUAGGGGAUCUUCGGCAAUGGACGGAAGGCUGACCGAGCAACGCCGCGUGAGUGAAGAAGGGUUUCGGAUCGUAAAGAUCUGUUGUAAGGGGAGAACGAGUGUUGUAGUGGAAUGUUCACGCUGUGACGGUAGCUGACCAGAAAGGCACGGCUAACUACGUG